CGGACGGGUGAGUAAUGUCUGGGAAACUGCCUGAUGGAGGGGGAUAACUACUGGAAACGGUAGCUAAUACCGCAUAACGUCGCAAGACCAAAGAGGGGGACCUUAGGGCCUCUUGCCAUCGGAUGUGCCCAGAUGGGAUUAGCUAGUAGGUGGGGUAACGGCUCACCUAGGCGACGAUCCCUAGCUGGUCUGAGAGGAUGAUCAGCCACACUGGGACUGAGACACGGCCCAG
Molecule: ribosomal RNA, 232 nt
Filed under: uncultured bacterium
Lineage: Bacteria
Description: partial 16S ribosomal RNA
Rfam family: Bacterial small subunit ribosomal RNA
Source: RNAcentral